GAGACAGCAGUCGCCGCGGUAAAACGUAGGUGGCAAGCGUUGUCCGGAAUUAUUGGGCGUAAAGGGCUCGCAGGCGGUUUCUUAAGUCUGAUGUGAAAGCCCCCGGCUCAACCGGGGAGGGUCAUUGGAAACUGGGAAACUUGAGUGCAGAAGAGGAGAGUGGAAUUCCACGUGUAGCGGUGAAAUGCGUAGAGAUGUGGAGGAACACCAGUGGCGAAGGCGACUCUCUGGUCUGUAACUGACGCUGAGGAGCGAAAGCGUGGGGAGCGAACAGGAUUAGAUACCCCUGUAGUCCCUGUCUCUUAUAC
RNAcentral lists this ribosomal RNA (308 nucleotides) under uncultured bacterium. RNAcentral's name for it is "partial 16S ribosomal RNA". It matches the Rfam family "Bacterial small subunit ribosomal RNA", at positions 505 to 807 of the family's 1533-position model. The record is from RNAcentral.